Molecule: ribosomal RNA, 484 nt
Filed under: uncultured bacterium
Lineage: Bacteria
Description: partial 16S ribosomal RNA
Rfam family: Bacterial small subunit ribosomal RNA
Source: RNAcentral
AUUGAACGCUGGCGGCAGGCCUAACACAUGCAAGUCGAGCGGAUGAAGGGAGCUUGCUCCUGGAUUCAGCGGCGGACGGGUGAGUAAUGCCUAGGAAUCUGCCUGGUAGUGGGGGAUAACGUCCGGAAACGGGCGCUAAUACCGCAUACGUCCUGAGGGAGAAAGUGGGGGAUCUUCGGACCUCACGCUAUCAGACGAGCCUAGGUCGGAUUAGCUAGUUGGUGGGGUAAAGGCCUACCAAGGCGACGAUCCGUAACUGGUCUGAGAGGAUGAUCAGUCACACUGGAACUGAGACACGGUCCAGACUCCUACGAGAGGCGGCAGUGGGGAAUAUUGGACAAUGGGCGAAAGCCUGAUCCAGCCAUGCCGCGUGUGUGAAGAAGGUCUUCGGAUUGUAAAGCACUUUAAGUUGGGAGGAAGGGCAGUAAGUUAAUACCUUGCUGUUUUGACGUUACCAACAGAAUAAGCACCGGCUAACUUCGUG